GCCCAUGAUCAUAUCACCCGCAAUGCCCCCGAUCUCACUAGAUCUCGGAAGCUAAGUAGGCUUGAGCCUGGACUAGAACUUCGAUGGGUGACUACCUUGCACAAAACAGGUGUCGUAGGCU
RNAcentral lists this ribosomal RNA (121 nucleotides) under Petromyzon marinus (sea lamprey). Lineage: Eukaryota; Metazoa; Chordata; Hyperoartia; Petromyzontiformes; Petromyzontidae. The record is from RNAcentral.